CCCCGCGCCCCGCCGGUGCUUCCGGACCCCGAGUCCGUCUCAGGACAGAGGCGGGGACCCCUCUGGUGCUCCGCGGCCGAGGACACAGGCGGCGGCGGCGGCCCUGCUCUAGGGAGGCCGGGUCUCUUCAGGGAAACAGAAGGUGCUCUUGUCCCGGGGUAGGGAACCGAGGAGCAGGGGUCCCGGGCGAAUGGGGCGCAGCUCCCGGCCGGCCGCUGUCCCGGCGCCCCUCCCCGCGGCCGCUGCGGCCCCGCGACCAUUGCUCAGGACUGGGACGGGCGCUGGGGGCCACCGGGACCCCCAAACCGCGCCACCAGGGCGGGGUGGCUCCUGGAGCCGCUGGCGGGGCCUCCCUCAUGCAGCUAGGAUCCUCCCCCCUGCCCAGGGGGAGACGGGCAGAAGGCGUUCAGCACGGGUGACACUACAGGGACCGUGGAGGAAGCCUCAUGGGAGUAGCAACCGCGGAGCUCCAGCUCAGCCCCACCCCAGGGCCCGGCUGCUCCCCCAAGCCUGGGUCGGGUCUGUUUGGUGACUCCCUGGCCCCAGCCUCCGCCCCAGGGAAACCGAGGCUGCGUCCAAAACCCAGAGCAGUCCGCUGGGGGCCGGGGCAGGGUCUCGGCCACCCUGGCGGUGCAAACAGGAAAGAUGCGCCUGGUUUUGGCUUUAAUAUUCAAAAUGGAAAAAAAUACAAGAAAGUUGUACAGUAUUUUUCCUGUAAAGGUUAUUAUUCUACAUAGAACAAAAAGGAAGAAAGCAGGCGUGGUGAGAGUGCAGACCCGCCUGGGCCCGGCCUGAGGUUGGAGGCUUAGUCCCGUUUCUCCUGUGGGAUUUGGUCCAGCGUUUUUUGUAGAGGCCUUAACAGUUUGAGGCUGUCUGUCUUCACACUAGCACUGAUGGGAGCUGCGUGAUUCCAACUCUUAACUUGAAUUUUGUAGAGACAAGAAAAAAGGACUAUUACUGUUGAUCCAAGUUUGUAGUUAAUUUAACAUUUGAGUUCUCUCUUGGUGAUGCGUGUGGCUUUAUAGGGCUUUUUUUUUUUUUUUUUUUUUUUUUUCUCCAGUUUGUUUUAUUACUUUGUUUGGGAUGCUUCUUUGCCGGUGCAGUCUACCCAGAUUGGGUUCCCUUUGCAAAACAUCCCCCUUCCUGGAGAUGAUGAGGCCAUGGAAGCCCCGGCCAGGGCCUGACCUGGCAGGCACACACCUGGCCGGUGGCUCUGAGGUCCCCGGGGACCAAGUCCCCUGCAAGGGCAGGCUGCCCGAGGCCACACCUGCCCACCUUCCCUACUCCAGGCCACCAGGCUGGUGUCAGAUUGGGCCACAGGGAGAAAACAGGCCUAGGAGGGAAUGGAAGGCUGGUGGGGAGGCUGUCACCCAGACGCCUUCUCCCCAGAGGUCUCCAGGGGGAGCCUGGCUCAACUGGGGGGCAGUGGUUUACUUUUCCCUUUUUUCUUCCUUUCUUUUGUCCUCUUGGCUGCCCACAGCCAGAAAGCCAGGACCACCCGAACUGGACAGGGAGCAGGGAGGGAGGAGUGGUCGCACGGAGCGUACCUGAUUCAACAGGAAAUCAGUUGUUUUCUAAAACAGCCCCUACCAGAGCCUUCUGAACUCUGUGGGUACCACAUGCUGCUGUGAGCAUCUGCCCAGACAGUGACCCGCCACGGCCCGGGAGUCUGUGGAAGGAGUUUUGUAAAGGAAAAAAAUACACACACAAAAAAACGUUUUUUUCAAUGUAGCAAAAUCAAACUUAAAAAAAAAGAAGAAGAAGAAAAGAAGAUGCCGACAGUGCGGAGUCUAGCCUUUUGUAACCUUCAUAUUGCACAUUAGGACUACAAGCCAUUGCUAGCUCAUUUUGAAUUUUAACGUGUAAUUUUUGUUUUAUUUUCUUUCUGUGGGGAAAACAAUGCUUGAUCCACCAAUGCUCUUUUUAAUGUUUUAUAACUAUGUAUGUGUAUAUAUAUAAAUAUAAAAUAAUAUGUAUGCACAUAUGUGUGUGUAUAUAUCUAUAUGUAUAUACAUAUAUAGAUAUAUAGAGAUAUAUAGAGAGGUUUUGAGACAAAAAAAAUGCAGAACGUGAAACCCGAACUGAACAGCGUGUGCUCUGAUUACUUGAAUCUGGUCUCCUCGGCACCUGGUUAUUAAGAACUGAAUAUUUUUCCACUUGAAUUUAGUGCUAUUAGAAAUUUAAUAUAUGUGUUUUAUUUAUUUGAUUUUUUUUUUUUUUUUGCAUGACUGAUGCAAGGUUUGACAUUUUCACUCAAUAAAAACUGGAAAAAAAAUCUA
Molecule: RNA transcript, 2279 nt
Organism: Cercocebus atys (sooty mangabey)
Lineage: Eukaryota; Metazoa; Chordata; Mammalia; Primates; Cercopithecidae
Exons: 1
Source: RefSeq, a predicted model, not a curated record